CCAGGGUUUGCUGUAUCAUCUCACGUGUCAAUCAGUUCACCUUUUAACUUGUGUCCCUAGAAGCUGUCAGAAAAGCUCAAUGCACUCUGUAGGUCCAUUUCCACACAUACUCCAUGGCAGAGCAACCCCGAUUAUACACACAUUAAAGAAAAGUUAAAGAAAAAUACAAGGUUGGUUUUUUGUUUGUUUGUUUGGUUGUGUGUGUGUGUGUGUGUGUGUGUGUGUGUGUGUGUGUUUUAAACUACUACUACCAACCUGCAAGAUUAUAGUACCCCGAAUCUCCUGAAGGAUUACAUAAUAAGACAAUAAGUGAUGUGCAUUCAGAGGAAAGAGAGAUCAAAGUGGGCCUGAGUGGUUAGGGAAAUAUUCCAGAACUCUUAUCUCCUUCCUUUCUAUCUACGCAAAUAUUAAGUUAGAAUCGUGCAGCCACGUUUUGUUUACGCUUCUGGGGUUUUCAGCUUUGGUAAGAUGUAUGGACUUGGGUUCCUAUUCUGUAAUCCCUGUGUAUUCUUUUUUAUAUCUUUCUCCGUCCCUGUUUCUGUACUUAAAAUCACCUCGACGUCACCCUUCCCCACCCCUUCUCCCUUUCUUGGCUCCGGGUCUCGAAGGGAGAGGUGGUCCUUCUUGCAAGUACCAAUUGCUCGGCUCCCGCCCUGGAUCCCUUGUCUUAACUUGUUCCUCUCCGGAUCUUUUUACUUUUCAAUCUCUUUUUAUCCACUGAUUCCUUCCCUAAGUUAGGGUGACUUAAGGAUAGAACUGAGGAGGGCGCGGGCGGCAGGCUGGACUCAAACCCUGGAACAAUCACCCUGCGGGUCAGGGAGCAGGAGCGAAAUAAAGCACAGCGUCCUCCCUACGGAGCAGAUCUUUCGAGGACCUCGCAGCCUCUCUUUUAAACACACGGUCCCAGCGUCCUCCGUCAUUACCAAGGAGCUCUAAACUCUUUGGCGGGAAGAGAGACAUUGCCUGGGGAGAACUCUCACUCCCUUCUGCGGAUGAGUGCAUGGAAAUGAGGCUGCAGGUAAAACCACCGGAUGGGUUCUUGGAUUAGGUGAACAGGCGGAGGAAGAAGUCAGGCUCUUUUUUUUUUUUUUUUUUUUUUUUUUUGUGAGGAGCCCUGCGUCUCCUCAGAGAGAUUCUGAGAGGGAAGAAUGUAAGAUCGAUCCCUUUGCUUUCUGAUCUGAAGGCGGGAGGAAUGAGACGUGGAAGACAAAGAACAGUCCUUUGGUGUGUCGGGGUGGUCAAGAACCGGAGGACCCAGGUAGGAGGGGACCAGGACCUUUGGGGAUUUCCAAGAAUUUGGAAACUUCCAGCCUCUCCAUUCACAUCCGCACGGAGAGGGAGCGGGAAAUCUCUGUCCCGGGUUAUAUAUCUAUCUGUGUAUCUAUGUAUUUAUCUAUGUAUCUAUCUAUAUGUAUCUAUAUAUCCAUGUAUGUAUCUGUGUAUCUAUGUAUGUAUCUAUCUAAUCUAUCUAAACUAUCUAUCUAUCUAUCACUGGGGCCGAAUCCACCUGACCCACCAAUCUCCGACUCCCUCUUCAUCUGUUCGCACCUUACAGACCUAGCCAUUCUAGCCGCCCGAUAGUCCUAAGCUGACACGUCCACACACCCAGCCAGCUGACCUCGUGGCGCAACGGUAGCGCGUCUGACUCCAGAUCAGAAGGUUGCGUGUUCGAAUCACGUCGGGGUCAUAGUACGUGAUGUCACGUUUUUCCUUUUAACACCUCCUGCUUCUUAGAAACCUUUGUCAGCUUCCCAGGAUAGGACUCUCAAUCCAUUUUUUCCGGUCUUCCUCAGGGGCUGGACGCGGAGAGAAUCCGGUCGCUGAGGGGCUAGAAACGGGAGGAGAAGGGUGCCCUAAUUCUUGCAAUGGUCCGAGGACUGACCGAUUGACUACAGUCUUGAGGUGGGCACCUCGGCUUUCGGAGAAACAUGACAAUAGCAGAAGAAAAACAGCGCUCUCCAGAAAGGGCUUCUGAGACUCCAGAGGGUGGAGACGGUCCUUCACAUCCGAGGACGAGGUGGCCGAGUGGUUAAGGCGAUGGACUGCUAAUCCAUUGUGCUAUGCACGCGUGGGUUCGAAUCCCAUCCUCGUCGGCAGUGGUGGGAAGUAAAAUGUAUUUUUAAAAAGGUGA
Molecule: long non-coding RNA, 2131 nt
Organism: Vombatus ursinus (common wombat)
Lineage: Eukaryota; Metazoa; Chordata; Mammalia; Diprotodontia; Vombatidae
Exons: 2
Source: RefSeq, a predicted model, not a curated record